This 495-nucleotide ribosomal RNA is filed under the name uncultured bacterium. Its description in RNAcentral is "partial 16S ribosomal RNA". It matches the Rfam family "Bacterial small subunit ribosomal RNA", at positions 899 to 1397 of the family's 1533-position model. The record is from RNAcentral.
ACUCAAAUGAAUUGACGGGGGCCCGCACAAGCAGCGGAGCAUGUGGUUUAAUUCGAAGCAACGCGAAGAACCUUACCAGGACUUGACAUCCUCUGCAUUACUCGUAACUGAGGAAAUCCUUCGGGACAGAGAGACAGGUGGUGCAUGGUUGUCGUCAGCUCGUGUCGUGAGAUGUUGGGUUAAGUCCCGCAACGAGCGCAACCCUUAUCAUUAGUUGCUAACAGUAAGAUGAGCACUCUAAUGAGACUGCCGAGGAUAACUCGGAGGAAGGUGGGGAUGACGUCAAAUCAUCAUGCCCCUUAUGUUCUGGGCUACACACGUGCUACAAUGGGUAGAACAACGGGAAGCAAGCUAGUGAUAGCAAGCAAAUCCCUAAAAACUACUCUCAGUUCGGAUUGUAGGCUGCAACUCGCCUACAUGAAGUUGGAGUUGCUAGUAAUCGCGAAUCAGAAUGUCGCGGUGAAUACGUUCCCGGGCCUUGUACACACCGCCCGU